Cyprinus carpio (common carp) is the source of this 1238-nucleotide long non-coding RNA. The record is from Ensembl. NCBI's taxonomy places the organism in Eukaryota, Metazoa, Chordata, Actinopteri, Cypriniformes, Cyprinidae.
AAACUUCACUUGAAGCACACUGACAUUUAGCAGGAUGAGGGGAUUUUAUAUAGAACGCAGCGAGACAUUGAUGUCUUUACACUCUGGUCAUGUUGGUAUUAGUGCAGCUCACGCAGUUGGAGUUUUUCUCCAUUCCUCUGGUACAAAACCUAGUGAGCUGUUGUUUUAUCACUGAAUAUUGUUCCUCUUUAACAGUGUGUUUAACAAAGGAUAGAGGGCAAAAUGAACACAGAGAGCUCAAAGAAGAGGCUGCUGGUGCUGAUGGAAGGAACAAAACAUGUCCAGCAGAUCAAUGUGUGGAUUUUGUCCCAUUCGAGUCCCAAAAUGACCUUUCUGAAACUGCUUUGGCUCCACUGUCACUUAGUGAGGCUUUAGUGAUCAGACGGCCCGAUUUCAUCCAGCGCUCACAGGCCAGGGUUCGAGCGCUCGAGAGGAGGUCGCAGGAGAGGCAGAACUCCCACAGCUCACCGCAGACAGUCGAGAGCGGAGGAAGCCUUGUGAAAUCCAAAGACAGAAGCAUCAUGGGAAAGAGUCUACAGCUGCGGUCCAGGAGGAGUUAUAACCAGCUACCUGAGGUGAAGAAGAGGAGAGAGGAAGAAAAGAGGAGAAUAGAAGAGGAGAAAAGAAAACUGGCAUCUCGGACCAACAGGCUGCGGGCAGAGCUCUUUAAAAAGGUAGACGUAUUGUUUGCAGAUGUGUAGGACUGAUCUGAGAGCAGUUUAGAGGAGUUAGGAGUGAAGACUGAUCUCGGAUCAGUAAUCAUUACAGCACAGGCGUUUUGAGUCGCUGUUACCUGGUUCAACGAAUUAGAUUCAUUCUCAGCAUUAAUCCUGAAAGUGAAGCUUUUCCAAUCCGCCGUCGCAAGGUGUGCGUUUAUCUUAAGAAAUUUCCCCUAAUUCAAUCGGACCGGAGGAGGACGCCUUCUCUAAGCCCGUUCCGCCCCUUAAGCAGUGGGAAUUGAUUUUGGCUGAUGCAUUUUGUUCCUAAACAGCUCUUACUCGCUCUAAAUAUAGACUAGGCCCUGACGCAGAGAGGGAUAUUCAACACAUUUCCAGUCAGAAAACACAUUUCUAUGCCUGUCUUCACAUUCACUCACAUCACACACACUCUGCUCAGAAUGAUGCUUUUGAUUGGCAGCUUUAGACCAGCAUUUGUUUAUGUUAUUAUUUGCCGUGUCAAGCAUCACUAUUAUUGCUGUUCAUACUUAGUGAGAUCAAUAAAUCCUUACACAAUGUCCA